AGAGGAAUAGAACAGAAAUAGAGGAAUAGAACAGAAAUAGAGGAAUAGAACAGAAAUAGAGGAAUAGAACAGAAAUAGAGGAAUAGAACAGAAAUAGAGGAAUAUAAUAGAAAUAGAGGAAUAUAAUAGAAAUAGAGGAAUAGAACAGAAAUAGAGGAAUAGAACAGAAAUAGAGGAAUAGAACAGAAAUAGAGGAAUAGAACAGAAAUAGAGGAAUAGAACAGAAAUAGAGGAAUAGAACAGAAAUAGAGGGGAAAGGGGUAUGAAGGAAAGACAGAAAAAGAGAAGCAAAGUAGGAGUGGUUAUGAAGCAUGCAAACAGCUCCUUUGUGUGUGUGUGUGUGUGUGUGCGCGCAUAUGCGUGUUAGUCAAUGAGAGAGAGGUGAGAUUUCAAGAGAGAGUGAGCAGCUGUUGUGCAGCGUUUAGCCUAGUGAGGAGAAGGUGCAAGAAACACAACGGUAGAGCAACCAUCAAAUCUGGGGUACAUUCAGAGACGACAAGCAGGUUCCCAACGAGUCUUAUCAACGUUGUCCUGUACUGUGCAGUGAGGUUGCUCUCCUGUUGACGUGUUAGAUGGAACCAGGCAGACUGAGGUGGUUAGUAUUGGCUUAAAGCACUAACAUUAGUAACCCAAAAACCAUUGAAUCGCAUUUCAAUAAUGCCAUUGAUUUAGCCGUAGGUUAUGUGUGCGUGUGUGUGUGUGUGUGUGUGCGUGUGUGGGUGUGUGUGUGUGUGUUGAAGGUGAACGACAGGAUAAACAGACACAGAGAGUUUGACACAGGAACACACACGCACACCUGAUUCAACGAAUCCAUUAACCACCCAGCGAUGGUGUGCGUUAGUGCUGGGACAAACCAAAAACAUGCACACUCUAAAGUCCUCAAGGACCAGCGAGUAGAGAACACUGGUCUAUACACUGUUAUACCGACACACACACACGCACACACACGCACACGCACGCACGCACACGCACGCGCACACACACACACACACACAGUAGGUAUCCAUAAACCGACCGAAAAUGAGAAAUUAAUAUGUUCUUCUCUCUCAUCCCGAUGGACAGACAGGACAGAAAGACAGGAUGGAAAGACAGGACAGAAAGACAGGACAGAAAGACAGGACAGAAAGACAGGACAGAAAGACAAGACAGAAAGACAGGAUGGAAAGACAGGAUGGAAAGACAGGACAGAAAGACAGGACGGAAAGACAGGACGGAAAGACAGGACGGAAAGACAGGACGGAAAGACAGGACAGAAAGACAAGACAGAAAGACAGGACAGAAAGACAGGACGGAAAGACAGGACGGAAAGACAGGAUGGAAAGACAGGACGGAAAGACAGGAUGGAAAGACAGGACGGAAAGACAGGACGGAAAGACAGGACGGAAAGACAGGACGGAAAGACAGGACGGAAAGACAGGAUGGAAAGACAGGACGGAAAGACAGGACGGAAAGACAGGACGGAAAGACAGGAUGGAAAGACAAGACGGAAAGACAGG
Long non-coding RNA from Oncorhynchus tshawytscha (Chinook salmon), 1496 nucleotides. The record is from Ensembl. NCBI's taxonomy places the organism in Eukaryota, Metazoa, Chordata, Actinopteri, Salmoniformes, Salmonidae.